RNAcentral lists this ribosomal RNA (364 nucleotides) under uncultured eukaryote. RNAcentral describes it as "partial 18S ribosomal RNA". It matches the Rfam family "Eukaryotic small subunit ribosomal RNA", at positions 592 to 975 of the family's 1831-position model. The record is from RNAcentral.
CAAUAGCGUAUAUUAACGUUGUUGCAGUUAAAAAGCUCGUAGUUGGAUUUCUGGAGGGAGCGUCGGCCCGUAUUUACGAGUGCGUGACGUCUCUGUCCAUCCUUGCGGGAAGGCACGGCAUUGAUUUGUUGUGUCGGAUCGCAUCAUUUACUGUGAAAAAAUUAGAGUGUUCAAAGCAGGCUUUCGCUUGAAUACAUUAGCAUGGAAUAAUAAGAUAGGACUUUGGUGCUAUUUUGUUGGUUGAGCCUAAGUAAUGAUUAAUAGGGAUAGUUGGGGGCACCUGUAUUGCGUUGUCAGAGGUGAAAUUCUUGGAUUUACGCAAGACAAACAGCUGCGAAAGCGUCUGCCAAGGAUGUUUUCAUUA